RNAcentral lists this long non-coding RNA (3827 nucleotides) under Sus scrofa (pig). RNAcentral describes it as "lncRNA (ENSSSCG00060047454.1)". Lineage: Eukaryota; Metazoa; Chordata; Mammalia; Artiodactyla; Suidae. The record is from RNAcentral.
UUUUUUUUUUUUUUUUUUUUUUUUGCCAUUUCUUGGGCUGUUCCCUUGGCAUGUGGAGGUUCCUAGGCUAGAGGUCGAAUCGGAGCUGUAGCCGCCGGCCUACGCCAGAGCCACAGCAACGCAGGAUCCGAGCCUGGUCUGCGACUUACACCACAGCAAUACCGGAUCCUUAACCCACUGAGCAAGGCCUGGGAAAAAAGAAUUAUCUACCUUACCUUUGCAUUCAAAGACUGGGCCAUCAGUUCCUAGAAGACCAGGUAGAAUAUUUGUAUCUCAAAGGCACAGAGAAAGAAUGGAAGUUCCUCCUAGAAUGGCUUUUGUUCCUAAGGCCAGAAUUUUAGUAAUACUUAGAAACCUUUUGAGAUGAAUAAGGGAGGUUUAAGGAUUACUAAAAAGGCUAAGUAUAUUUUGAAUUUUUCCUUGAGCUGCAUUUCUGUCCUCAUAAAGACUUAGUUUAUAAGAUGAGGACAGUUAUUUUUUAAUUCCUUGAAGAACUGAGUUGCAAGCAAAAUGACUUCAGAGCUAACCCACUAUCGACUACAUUUCCAGUUUGCUUCUUUAUGUCAGGGAGAAGAUCUUCAACUAAGAAAUCAAGAUUCCUCUGUUCUAGAUCUAGAUCUCUUUGUUUUCGGAGUAUUUUUCCCCCCUCUGGGUAUAUAGUUUCAUUUUAGCUUAGGGCAGAAGGCCUUAAUAAAAGUUCCUGUUGGAGUUCCCAUUGUGGCUCAGUGGGAUUGAACCCGAAUCCUCAUGGAUGCUAGUUGGAUUAGUUUCCGUUGAGCCACAAUGGGGACUCCACAACUGCAAUUCUUAAAUGAAAAAUCUUGUUUAGUUGGAAUGUCUCCCUUAAUGGCCAUUGUAAUUCUAAGUUGUCUUAGGAAGACUUUGCCUUUUUUGUAGAUAGUAACAGCUUCCAGGACUCCAGAUAAACAAGCAGUUGUGCUAGAAAGUGUUGUGCUCAAUCCUUUGAAACCUGAGGCUCCCACUUCUUUAGCUAAGCUUUGGACCUUUUGGAGCCAAAUUAAUAUCUAAGAGGGAUGUGCUUCGGGUUGGGGAUUGUGUGAUGUUUUGCAGUCUAUCUUGUUGCACAGAAACUUUCUUGAGGUUGUCAAUCUAAUCCUUUCCACGACCAACUUAUUCUAGCAUAGGUGUCUUAGAGUUGAGUGCUCUAACAGUUCUUAAGUACCUGACCUGUCUGGUCAGUAUUGUCACUUUGACUUUUGAGAUUCCCAUUCACACUAGAUCUGUUAUUCUUUUACCUCAUGUGCAUAGUAUCAGAAACCAACAGUAACCAAGGAAAUGGAACUGUAGAUACCCAGUAGUAACCAAGGAGAUGGUAUUCCAGACUUGCCAAGAGAAGGCCUUAGGUGUUCCUAAGUGGACCCACUUGUAGUUCCUAAGGUAGAACUUUGAGCUGAACCAGUAGAUCCUAACAAAUGGGCAACGUGGACUAACCAAGGGCUAGGGACUCAGGUUCUGGGUAGAACUGCCUGGCAGCUCAAGCUGACCCCCUAAGCUUUGAACUAGGAAACCAAUUAGAUUGCAAGCUCAGCGCAAAGAGAAUAGAGCUCAGAACUGUGAGGAUCUUACCCAUGGUCUGUGGGAAGACAGAGGGUUCACAGGUACCAGUGCCUGUGUUUCUCAUCCUUGACGUCGUCAGAAGUUUCCUUUGGAUCCCGUCACUGCCACCAAAAUGUUUAAAAGCAAAAUUCAGCUGAGAUAUUUUAAAGAUCUUACUGGAUUUGUUCAAAGUGAUUUCUGAUGGACUGGUUUAAGAUUCCAUUUCUGGGAGAGGCCAAAAUUGUAAGUUAAGUUGAUUUGUUGCUGUGGGGCUUAGCAUGACUCCAUUUUGGGCCUGAUGUCUUAUUUUUAACAAAGUGUAUCUAUCAGCAAAGCACUUAAUGAUAAAAAUUAGUUUCUGAGGUAUCACUGCCUCUCACACUAUAUAAAGAUUUUCUGUAAUUAACAAAACAAAUUUGUAGACCUUCCAGUCCAUAUAAGUAUAAAGGUUAAACAUUUAGGAAUAAAAAUGGGCUUUUAGGUAAAGCCAUAUGGUGUUAGGAGAAUCCUUUUUAUAAAAAUGGUAGGAAAAAAAAACACAACAAGAGAAAUUUGGUGCUUAUAAGAGAACAGAAAUUAGACAUACUAAAUUUUAUAUGUGACCCUUGCUCUAUAUCAACUAAGCUUUUUGGUCUAGUUUAUUGAAGUUGUAAAUUCAGUGCCUUUAUCAGAAAGAUAUUUUCCAGUGACAAAGGCCUUUGAAUAAUCAAAGUACUUCUGGGUUCAAGCGAUUUAAAUAAGACUUAUUCCUUUUUAAAGAACUACUUGAAUUUUCCUUUCUCAGAGUGGGAUUUUUACUUCUGAUCCUAAGUGAAUAUAAGUGAAAAGCACAACUGUGCUCUAAGGGAAUGUUGGAAUUCUAAACCCUUAUUUCAAAUCUGGGCUAAUAUUCUCUAGUUAUGGUAUUUUGGUAAAAUAAUAUAUAUCUCAAAACUCAGCUUCUCAAUCAGUAAAAUUUGUAUGAUUAUAAAUUACUAUCUCGUGGUUGCUAUGAGGAGUAAUUGAAUCAUGAUGCAUAAACGUCUCCAGCAAAGUUUUGGUUUAUUUUUUCUCCAAAAAUAUAAGGGGGUUUCCAUGAUAAAUUUUCCUGAAGCUUAUAUUGGCAAAUAAAAAUGGUAGUUAUUGAGUAAAAAUUAUAGUCACCUUGUGGCUUUGAGAAUAAGGAUUAAUUUUAUUAGUUUCAAUAAGAAGACAAAAUUUUUCCUUUAUCUGCAAUUAAUUGUUAUAAAAAUAUUAUAUCAGGAAAGACAUACGGGUUCUAUAAUGGGCUAUUUUACUUUAAACUUUCAAAAUAGAAUCUUAAAAAUUUCUUCUCAUAAAUGAACAUGUUUAAGAAAAACUUUAAAAUAAGUACACACAGAUGGUUAACUUUGAGAUGAUGGAUACAUUAACUAACCUUAUUGUGAUGGUCACUUAAUAUAUACACAUAACUCAUCACAUUGCGUACCUUAAAUUUCUGUAAUUGUCAAAGCUGGAAAAAAUAAAGAUAAGCAAAAAGAAUUAAAAUAAUUCAGGAGUUCCUGCUGUGGUGCAGCAGAUUAAUAAUCUGGAGGUGCCAGUUUGAUCCUUGGCCAGCCCAGUGGGUUAACUGUGGUGUAGGUUGUAGCUCCAGCUCAGAUUCCAUGCCUGGCUGAGCAACUUCCAUAUGCUUUGGGGGCAGCCAAAAAAGAAAAAAAAAAGAAUUAAAGUAUUUCAUAGAUGAACACUACAUGUUUUUUGGGCAUAUGCUUUUAUUUUCUCAAGAAUGUGACUGUCUUUUAUGAUUUUUGGUAACUUGGAUUUUGUUUUGUUUUGUGUGUGUGUUUGUUUCGGCCACACCCUCAGCAUGUAGAUGUUCCCUGCCCGGAAUUGAACAUACGCCAUAGCAGCAACUGAGUGACAAUGCUGGGUACAUGACCUGCUGAGCCACAGAGAAACUCUGGGGAUUUUCUAUUUAACAAUAUAUAAUGGGUAUUUUCCCAAUUCACUAAAUGUUCUUUUUCAGCAGUGGUUUCCCCUCUCUCUCUCUUUCUUUUUUUUGUCUUUUUAGGGCCUCACCCACGGCAUAUGGGGGUUCCCAGGCUAGGAGUCCAAUCAGACCUGGAGCCUCCAGCCUAUGUCACAGCCACAGCUACGCAGGAUCCUUACCCACUGAGCAAAGCCAGGGAUUGAACCCGUGUCCUCAUGGAUGCUAGUUGGGUUCGUUAACCGCUCAGCCACAACGGGAACUCCUGCAGUGGUUUUCUUUGAAAGAAAAUCUAUACCAUUCCCAUAUGCAAACCACCCAUCAA